UGAUGGAGACAUUGCAGUUAGCACAGCAGAAAUAUGUGUCGCCCUCAUGAAGCAUGCAUUCUAGUAGGGAGGGACAGCACAUCAAUAAAGGAAGAUUAUUUCAUACGGGGACAAGUUCUAUAAAAAUAAUAAAACUGUAGUGGAGAAUGAGUGACUAAGGGUGGUCAGUUAGCUCUUAAAAUAACAAUUUUAUAUUGAAUACUAUAGUGAGUUACACAAUCUUUAUCUGAGUGAAAUCCUUUGGUACUUAUUCAGACAAGAGUUCUGACUCUCAUGCUUGAGGAUAAGAUUUUACAUUUCAGUAUUACAUUGAAGAUGUUUCAUUUUUAACCAGACUAACUUAGUAUAUUGUUAUUUUUAAUGUGACCAAAGAAAUAUUUUCAUAGAAGCUAAUGCUGAGUCUUUUGAUAAUUUGCCGUAUCUUAGUCAAUCCCAAAAAAUUUAUUUUCUACUAUUUACAUAUUAUCCUAGUGGAUAUUACAUUACUUACUGAAGCCUUUGGUUCUAUGUUUCAUCUACUCAGACUUAAUUCAGGAAGAGCUUCAUCCAGAUGUUUUGUUUAUUUGUUUCUCGAUUACAUGUAUGAGAUUUCAGAAUUUAUGAGAUCAUAGGUCAAGUGAAAGGUCACAGUUGAGAGGUCAAGUAAGAAGCUAAAAUUUGUGAAACCAAAGAAAUGACAGGACAGUGCCAAAUGAAAGGUCAAAAGUCAAGUGACAGACUCAGUACAGAUGAAAGCAAGUGGAAUAGUAAACACGUUUUCAUAUGUGAGAGGUGUGUGUGUGUAUGCAUGUGCAUUUGUCAUUAACAAUAAAUGGUUCUUUGGGACUUAGGGACAUUUUGUCAGUGAUUUGCUUUAUGGAUCAUACAAAGUGACCAUUCUUCAAAAGCCAAGCAUUUAAAGGAAGUCUCUUUCCAUAUUCUAGAAAUAAACAGCAACAUUUCAUGACAAACUAAAAAAAAAUGAAUGAUAGGUUAGGGAUCUCCAGCUCUAAAAAGAGGAAUUCAACAAAAGAGAAUUUGCUUUUAUGUAGAGUCCUGUGCUUUUUUUCUCAUAGAGCACAUUAGAAUGGUUUAUUUACAAGUAAAAAUCACAUUGAUGAUAAUAGAAGUCAGUGGCAAGUCAAUAAGAGUUUAGUCUCUACCAAACUAUAAAAUUGGACUUUUAAAUCAUAGCGUAAGCACUGUCGUUGUCCAAAAGAAGUGUUUAUUUUUCCUAAGUUUUGCCUUUCAUAUCACGCCCAUAAAUUUUUUCAAAUAUAUACUUUGAAAAGCUAAGGGCAAGCCCUGAAGGGUGAAAUAUUGCAAACCAAUUAAAAACAACUGAAGUGAGAUUCUAAAAUACAGGAGUUUUCCAACUCAUGAACAAUAUUUAGAGAGCUGGUUAAUUUUAAUUCCUCUGGGAACCAUAAGUCUGGGCAUUAAUAGGCUUAGAGUGAUAAAAACAGCAAUAUACUAUGCACAUAUAGAUGGUAUUGUCAAAAAAAGAAGCAAUUAGUGGCAAAGAAAGCAUAAGUAUGUACACAUAUGUUUAAUGUGCUGUAAAAUACAAGGAUCUGUACAAUUAAAAAGAAGGUGCUUUACCCUUUAACAUGUGCCAAACGUCUUUCACCCCCAUUUUACUGCAUAUACCUCCUGUUUCUACAAAGCACCCAAGAAGUAGUUCAUCCCCAGAUGACAUUUCUGAUACCGCAUGACCCAGAUUGCCACAAUUUGGGUGAAAUAGCCUGAAGAAUUAUCAAAUAAGAUAGCUAGGAUGAUGUUCUGUAUUCUCUGGUGUUGGUACAGCACCAUGUUUGGGACCCAGAUUAACCUUUCAGCUAUUAAAUUGAUUCCUAACAAAAGCUUUUUUUGUGGUUUGCUUAUAUCAUGCUUGGAAGAACAGCAAAUAAUAGGUAACAGUGGUGGAGCUGGAAAUUUUUAAAAGACAUGAUUCUUGGGUCCAAGUCGUUUUUCACUUUUGUUGUAGAAUGGCCUCAAAAUGGUAAUUUUUGGUAUGAUCUUUUAGAAAGCCCACCAGAGUUUAGAAUAUCUCAAAAAGGUGAAUUUAAGAGAAACGUGAGAAAUUCACAGAACCAUAGGACUAAAUGCCUUCUCACGUGAUCAGAAAGGAGAAAAGGCUUUGGAAGUUCCUUAGAGUUUCUAGCUGUGCUGGCCAGUUAUUCUGGCCUAAUGCAUUGGGGUGGGGCAAUGGGUACCAUUCAUGAUGGUGUUGGGCUGCUUAGAACUUGUACAAGAAUGGCUUAAAGUGACAUCAUCCAGUCUCAAAUGUUUGAUGCUGAAAAGACUCAGGACUAACAGCUUAGAAGGACCCUCACCUAACUCCCUGGCUAGUGACCAUCACUGACCCAGGAUAGUAACCUCGGCCCCUCCAUGGAUUUAAGAUUAAGCCUUGCCAGUCCCUGGAAACUCUGAUCAGAAGACCAAGCAGCAAGUUUCAUGACUGACCAGAGAAUAUAAUUUCUCAGUCUCAUAAGCCUUUGGGUUCAGAAAUUUUAGUUGAGAUGCUCUUGUGACUUAUUUGGUGUCUGCUGGCUGCCUCUCCACUUGCCCGUUUGGUAGUCACCAACCAUCUCACAUGCGUGGAUGGCACUUUCUAGCUAAACUUAAUCACAGUCCCAACAGGCCUAAGGAAUCUCUUCAGUUCCUGUAUAAGGAGUUGCUUUGAAUAACAUCUUCACUGUGUCCAUUGUUAUCACACCCAGUGAGCCAAAAUAUCAGUGCAUACAGUGAGCUCCAAGAGUGGCCCAAUUUGGGAUUUAAAAGCAACAAAAUCCCAAGUUUGGUCAUGCUGCCCUCCUGCCUCCUAUGUGCUGAUUCCCACUUCUGAAAACACAUCUUGAAUGUGCCUCUUGAAAUGUUGUCAUUUUUCUAAUCUUGUUUCCUUUUUAAAACAAGCAUUUUAUUCCAUGAUUUGCACAGUUCUGCAUCUAUAUCAAUGACUUUUCACCCAUUCCCCCUUUCCAACGCAUUUCUUGGGCAAAAGUUUGUGUCCAGCCUGCCAUUCAGGAAAGGCAAAGAAAUCCAUCACCAUGACUAUUUUAUAAAAUAGUGAGUUUGACUAAAUUGCCCGAAGAUUCCUUUUUCACAAAAGGAAGCUGUGGUGUCCAGCCAAUGACUUGCCUAAGGUCACACAAUGAAAAAACUAAAGAUGGGUGAAGUUAGACACCUCUUAAACAUAGGGCAAGGAUUUCCUUUUAUAGCCUAUGAACAUCUACUCUCAAAUCAAAUGAUUUCAGAGAUUCUCCUGCCAUUGCCCUGUAUACAAAAAACAAAAGCAAAAUUUUCUUCCAUACAUGGGAGAAAUAGAACUGCUUUUAAUGAAGUUCUGAGAUUCAGCACAGUCAGUUAAAUUCCUUCCAGUUGAUAAGCACUUUAUGUAAGACCUCUAAAGCUCCCCAUCAUACUCCUUAGUAUCGAUACCACACCAUAUCCUAGAUGAAAGGCACCCCCGUCAGUGGGGCAUAGAAAAAACCUAGGGCACGGUAGUCAACUAGAGUAUUCCAGUGGCUCAGAAAAAAAUUCUGAAGCACUCUUCCUUUUCUUGUGAAGAGCUUUUGGGGUUUAAUAAUGGCAGGAGUUCCAGGUUGCUCUGCUUCUCUUGGCCAGGCACUUAACCUACAGGAGGUUCCACCUGAGGUCAUGGGAGUCACUACUAGUGGCUUGGAACUUGAGGAAGAAUAGAGGGGCUCACGGUCCAAAUCAGAGGAGAUGGAGUUUCUGACUUUCAGAGUAAAGCAUGAAUACCUUUUCCUAUGUACAUACUGUUAA
Molecule: long non-coding RNA, 3768 nt
Filed under: Homo sapiens (human)
Lineage: Eukaryota; Metazoa; Chordata; Mammalia; Primates; Hominidae
Description: HSALNT0316053
Source: RNAcentral